GUUAAGAUACUUUGUGGAACUGUGGAUG
Molecule: non-coding RNA, 28 nt
Filed under: Cricetulus griseus (Chinese hamster)
Lineage: Eukaryota; Metazoa; Chordata; Mammalia; Rodentia; Cricetidae
Source: RNAcentral